UCUUUUGUUACUACAGAAGGAUGAUUAAGUAAUGAUUAUUUUGUUUAGUUGGCAACUUGGAUCUCAUGAAAUGGCAUUCUCUGUCAACAUUUUGUCUGUAGCAUUUAAUGUAUAUCUCUAGUAGAAUGUUUAUGCACAUGUUAUUUGCAGUUUCUAGCUGACAUUAUGUUUUAUGCAAUAGUGGUUAACCUUUAGUUCUAGAGUAAAGAAAUUAAUGAUAAACAAUAUUACUAGAUACUCAAGAGUAUGCACGAUUAAAAGAAAUUGCCUUAAACAUGUAAACAAUGAUGAAAUUUCCACCAAAAAUACGGGAUUUUGAAAACCAGUAUUCUACUGAAUCAACCUUGCCAAUGAACAUAUAUACAAGUAAUGGUAGUAGUGUAGUUAUUGUAAAUUGUGUGAUGACUGUUUGUAUUUGAAGCCAUUUUUUUUUACGUUUUUACGUGAAUCAAUAUAUGACAACAACACCUGUGUCGGCCAUAACCUCGGAAAAGCUUUAGAUAUACACACAUAGAAGAUGAACACUUAUUUUGAGAAAAAUGGUAAAAAGAUGCUCAUGGGGGACAUGUUAUUCUGAUACAAGGUAUCUAGAUAUGAUAAUUAAUGUACCUUUCCUGCCAUUUCCAAAACAACCAAAGACAAAUUAAGAUGCUUGUUUGAGAUGGAUUAAGGCAUGUGGGAGACCUGUGGAACAACUUAAUGUUAAUAAAAUAGUAAGAGACACAUAUGCUUGUUCAAAGGUAUGUAAUAUUUUUGUUAAUAUUUGUAAACAAUUAUUUACAUCAUUAAUAUCUGUUCUCAAUAAAAACACGUGAUUAACUGAUAGACAUGAUAGAUUGAUCUGAAUGAGAUAGAGUACUUUGAUAACGAAAGCAAAUAUAGGAAAACUUAAGUCUCAACACUUAUUUGAUAAGCUUAUUUGUAAAUCAAACGUUAUAGAUAACCAGUUAUUAGUCAUCUAUUUUUAUUUUCAUAAUAAACAGAAUAAACAUUAUUUUUUCAGCACUUUGUUGUUUGAAUGCAGAUCCUUUUCCUGCAACUGUUUGCCAGGUAUAUGAAGCCAGAGUAAAAUCGAGGAAAAGAAAAUAUGUUGAAUUAGAACAAAAUAGUGCAGAACCCUCCUGUAGUGUACCAGAAGUUAUGUGUAUUAAUCCAAUCAUACUGUCUAGUAAUGAAAAUGACAAAGAUAUUCAAACUGAUGAAAUUGUUUAUACAGUUUGGAUUUGAUUGCACAUACUUCAGCAAUAAAGAAUUUGGAAGAAGAAAAGGAUUUGGAAGAAGGAAAGUGAAGACCUAAAGAUGCAAUUAACAAGUUGUGUUAAGGAGGAUUUCAAACUAAAGAGCAAAAGAUCACCAGCAAAGAAACACAAACAAGUUGUGCAUAAUAAAGAGUUUUCAGCAGAAAUAGUGGCAAAUUAAAAUAUAAAGAAACUUUUCGAGUAUUAUACUGGAUUACCAUAUGUAAAAUUCAUUAUGUUAGUACAGUUUUUAUUUCCAGAAGAAGGAAUAAAUCCAGUAAAUUACAAAGAAAAAAAAAAAGAAGUCAAAGCAAUGCUCCUCACUGACCAGCUAUUCUUAGUGUUGUGUCGUUUAAGAAAUGGACUUCACAUAAAGGACUUAGCAUACAGAUUCCAUAUAAAACCACAAAAUGUUAGUGUAAUGUUCAAGAGUGUUAUCCAUUAAAUGUAACUUAAAUUGGGAUAUUUGUCAUACUGGCCCCACAGAGAUACCAUAAUACAGAAUAUGCCACAAAAAUACAAACAAGAGUUUCCAACAUGCCUUGCAAUUAUAAACUGUGCAGAAUUAAAAACAAAAAAACCUUCAUCACUCAAGUCACAGAGUCAGUGCUAUUCAGACUACAAGUCUUCACAUUGAAAUCUUUGGUGGUUACAGAUCCAAGAAGUUCUGUCAUAUUUGUAUCAGAUUUAUUUUCUGGAUCUAUUUCAGACAAUGACAUUUGCAAGGAAAGUGGAUUUUACAAGUUGCUACAGCAAUUAAAAGAUUAGGGUUAUCUUCAAGACAACGAUGGGAUAAUGGCAGACAAAGGAUUUCGUAUAGAAAAACAGCUUGGUGAAUUACAUUUAAGACUAAAUAUUCCACCUUUUGCAUCAACUGCAACACAAAUGCCUUCUGGUGAUGUUGCACUUACCCGCAAACGUUCAAUUAAAGAAAUAAAAAAAUUCAAAAUGGCUAAUAGAAGAAUUCCAGGAACUUUAUUGAUAACAUAAAUGAAAUAUGGACUAUAUAUUCCUUAUUAACAAAUUUUCAGGACACUCUUAUCAAAAUGUAAUGAAUAUUUUAUUUACAGGUAAAGGAAAUUAAAAUAUGUCUGAACUUCUGAUUAUAUUUUACUUACAUGAAAAUACAGUAAGGACCCAGUCUGAACUUUGCCCAGCUUUGUAUCGAUUGUGGUUGCAUUUUCUUGCAGUAAAUAACUCAGUGGAAUGUCAUCAUCUUCCUUGAGUCUUAAAAUUGCACUUGUUGAUGAACCUGGUAAAUCAACCUGUGAAAUUUCUGUAAAAAGUGGUUUUCUUUUUCUCUCUAAAGAAGGUGUUGUUGGAUUUGCCAGAGUCAUUGAAACUACAGGUUGUGCUUUUAUUUUCCUCCCCCUUGGUGUGUGCCAUUGCUUUGCCAAACAUGUUGCAGAUAGCUCUGAUGGUACCUCUUUUAAGCUUAAAUUCUGGUAGUGAGAAAUUGUAUGUACUAACCAAACAACAUGGGAACAAGUACCAGAUAAACUGAAAAUGAAGAAAGAAGCUUUUAUUAAUUCUGGUAUAUCAUAUUAUUUAUUUUCAUAUUUAUCUUUUUGAUUUCAUGAUAGAAUGGAUUGAUUAUACAAUCAUUAAAUGAAGAUAGAUAUAAUCACAUCUUUGCCAAUUAUCAAUACACAAAUAAAACAACAUGAACAAGUGUUUCAUUGAGCGUAAAUUGACCAGUUUACAUGCUGUGCCAUAAAUCUUUGAUAUGUAUCUUAUCUAAAAAGUGUCCUUAUUUGAUUAUUUUAUCAUGUGGAGUAUGACACCACAUGCAAUCAUGUAUAUUUUAAUUAAUUACAUACCCUGCUACACAUGUAAAAUUGCUGUCUGAUAUAAUCUUCUCAUCUUUCAACACUGUAAUCUAAUGUUUACUUUGUGUGGAGCUUCAUUUUUCCUCAUUGACCGGUAACAUUUGGAUUUAAUAUCUACUUCAUUUGCACUAAUUUCACACAAAUUUAUACUAUGAAUGUAAUCAAGGGUAAAAUAAUUAUAACCUUGGUCGUAUGGUCUCUGUUAAUGUUUUAUCCUUAAAAUAAUCAAGAUUAAUAUUGUGUAGCAACACAUCUAACUUCGAAGUAACCGCCAUUUUGUAGAUCGUUUGUCCGAGGAUGCUGGGUUGCCAUGUGUUGCUAUGAUGGGUGGGUUUAUCUCAGAUUAGUGGAUAGUUGUAUGCAUUGGUACGCUAAACAAUUAUUUUUUUUAUUUGCGCCAUUUUAAAAUGACCAUUAAAAACCGUAAUCAUUUGAGGAAACAACAGGUAAAUGGUGUUUAAAUAUAAACACUGUACAUGAAAUAAAAUGACAUACUUAUCACUGAUUUGAAACUCUCGUGCAUGCGAUAAAAGAAUGUAAAAUGGAUUAUAUGCAUACCAAGGAAAACCAAGGAAAUUAGUUAUGUGUGAUGGUCAUUCAUUUUGGCAAUAAAAAUUGAACUUCUUUUUGAAAAAAAAACCAGUUUUAUGGAAGAGGUGAAAUAAUACGGUCACUGUGCAAUAGAACUGUUGCUUACAAAUAUAAAAUACACUUAUACUGUUCUAAAUCCAACUUCCAACAAGGGGACAGAUGAUAGACUAAACGGGUAAAAGCUAUAUAAACCAAAUUAAUAACCUAUGUUUCCCAUGUGUUUACUUGUAUUAUGAUAGGCGCUAGUAAAACAUUUUAAUGGCGCAAAUGAAAAAAAACAUAUUGGCACAAAAUUAAAAAAAAAAUAUAUUGGGGGGCAAAGUAAAAACGCCGUUGUGGUCCUAUUGAGCAAAAGUGCGUCAAUGUAAAUAGCUGGAGACUUUGGUUUUUUAUUAUUUGAAAAGUAUUGGUAAAUAUUUUCACUAUCUUCAUGUAUUUUGAUGUACAUACGAUGACGUUAAAAUUAAUUCUUUGUGCUACUAAUGCAAUAUUAUGUUUUUAAAUUCAAGGACACUGUCUUUUAUUAUGACUUACCGAAUGUAAAGCGACUCAUGUUUAUCUAUUUCAGUGACAAUACUUUAUUGACAGUAAUUUAUUCUAAUUAACAAGUUAUCAUAAGAUAUAUUUAUAUAGGAAAACAUUGAGGAACUUUGUUAUGUAUAAUUUCUUAGUAUUUUAAAAAUUAAAAAUGAUUAACACAAAAAUUAUCCAUUGAUAAGUAAGCAUAUAAAACACUGCCAUCUCCUUUGAGGGAUAUUAAUUAUUUGAUAUCUAAUAAAUAUGUCUUUGAUUUUUACAUAAGGAUUAUCAUUAAUGUUUAUUUUCUAUUGCUGUCAUGAAAUUGCAUUUCAUUGUCCAUGUUGUCCAUUUGCCUUUUUAAGAGCUAUACAUAUGUCGUUUUUGCAAAUUUCGCUGUUCACAUUCCCGUUUAUCAUUUAUCGUUCAUUUCAUAGUACAAUGUUAAUGCCUAUGUUACUUGCAUUUUCUAUAUAAAAAAGAAGAUGUGGUAUGAUUGCCAAUGAGACAACUCUCCACAAGAGACCAAACGACACAGAAAUUAACAACUAUAGGUCACCGUACGGCCUUCAACAAUGAGCAAAGCCCAUAUCACACAGUCAGCUAUAAAAGUUGACUUUAUUUUGAGUCUCGAGUAAACAUUUGAGGUUGAAUUAUUUUACUAAGUACUCAAGACUGUGGACGAUUUAGAAAAAAAAAUGAUGCCUGAAAAAUGAUCAAAAUUUUACAAACAAUUGGAGAUUUUCCAAACAAUUACUUUUAGCAAAUCAGUAUCCUACUAAAUCAACGUGGUCAUUGUAACUAUAUAUAAGUAAUUGCAGUUGUGUAAUAUGUGUGAUGUCUGUGUUUAUUGAAAGCCAAAUUUUACAUAUUUGCAGGCACAUCUACAGCACUGGCAACUACCGCAGAAAUAAAGAACAAAACAGGCAAAGAUAAAAGUCAAAUACCAAUAUCAUCGAUCAUAGUCAUCAGCACAGUUUUGAUAUUACUACUAUGUAUCGCUCUCAUUUGGGUUUUCUGGAAACAUGAAGUACUUUUGAAGAAGAGAGACAAAAAUACAGAUCGCUCCAACACAAUACAUUCCAACGUAUCUGUAAACCAAUCGCAACUUGGAGAAACGCACGAAAACGGGGGAGUAGAGGAUGGAAUUUUGCCAUGUUCUGUACAAUCUAACACAGACACCAGUUUAAUACAUGCACAAGAAACCAGUUACAUACAUACACAUGAGAACACAGUUUAUUUCAUAAAACCAGAAGGAGUAGUUUGAAAAGUCGAUAACGAUAGCAGACAAAAUUGGACUGAACUAUUUUUUAAUGUUUGUUAGUUUAAGGUUUCAUUGCAAAAAAAAACCCGCCAGUUCAUCAAAUCUUGCAGAUAGCUGUCAAAAUUUUAUUAAAGGAGAUUUGUUUCAUUUAUUAAACAAUGUGUUGGAACUGUAAAAAAGCAAGUCAUUCCAGUCAAAAUUAUAAUACUCAAAUUAUUUAUAAUUUAUAAUGAUGAAUAAGGGACAUAUGCUGGUUAUAAACGAAUGUGCAAAUUAAAACAAUGAAGUAUUCAUUACGUACAUAGGAAUAUAUCCACAAUCACGUCAUAUAGACAUGUUGUAUUUAGAAACUCUUAUAAUUUACACAUUGUUAGGCGGUUACAUAGUCUAAACUAAAUUCGUACUAAUGUUG
This is an RNA transcript of Mytilus californianus (California mussel), 5850 nucleotides long. It is a transcript of the gene named protein draper-like, with no coding region annotated. NCBI's taxonomy places the organism in Eukaryota, Metazoa, Mollusca, Bivalvia, Mytilida, Mytilidae. The record is from RefSeq and is a predicted model, not a curated record. The transcript is spliced from 4 exons.